RNAcentral lists this ribosomal RNA (253 nucleotides) under uncultured bacterium. RNAcentral's name for it is "partial 16S ribosomal RNA". It matches the Rfam family "Bacterial small subunit ribosomal RNA", at positions 524 to 776 of the family's 1533-position model. The record is from RNAcentral.
UACAGAGGGUGCAAGCGUUGUUCGGAAUUACUGGGCGUAAAGCGCGUGUAGGCGGCUUUGUAAGUCGGACGUGAAAUCCCUCGGCUCAACCGAGGAACUGCGUCCGAUACUGCAGAGCUUGAGUGUCGGAGGGGAUGGCGGAAUUCCCGGUGUAGAGGUGAAAUUCGUAGAUAUCGGGAGGAACACCUGUGGCGAAGGCGGCCAUCUGGAAGACAACUGACGCUGAGACGCGAAAGCGUGGGGAGCAAACAGG